GACGAACGCUGGCGGCGUGCCUAAUACAUGCAAGUAGAACGCUGAAGGAGGAGCUUGCUUCUCUGGAUGAGUUGCGAACGGGUGAGUAACGCGUAGGUAACCUGCCUGGUAGCGGGGGAUAACUAUUGGAAACGAUAGCUAAUACCGCAUAAUAGUAGAUGUUGCAUGACAUUUGCUUAAAAGGUGCACUUGCAUCACUACCAGAUGGACCUGCGUUGUAUUAGCUAGUUGGUGGGGUAACGGCUCACCAAGGCGACGAUACAUAGCCGACCUGAGAGGGUGAUCGGCCACACUGGGACUGAGACACGGCCCAGACUCCUACGGGAGGCAGCAGUAGGGAAUCUUCGGCAAUGGACGGAAGUCUGAACGAGCAACGCCGCGGGAGUGAAGAAAGGUUUCGGAUCGGAAAGCUCUGUUGUAAGAGAAGAAAGAGUGUGAGAGUGGAAAGUUCACACUGUGACGGUAUCUUACCAGAAAGGGACGGCUAACUACGUG
This 495-nucleotide ribosomal RNA is filed under the name uncultured bacterium. RNAcentral describes it as "partial 16S ribosomal RNA". It matches the Rfam family "Bacterial small subunit ribosomal RNA", at positions 28 to 507 of the family's 1533-position model. The record is from RNAcentral.